GUAAGUGCAGCAUUGUUUGUUAU
RNAcentral lists this small nuclear RNA (23 nucleotides) under Arabidopsis thaliana (thale cress). RNAcentral's name for it is "snRNA_16970". The record is from RNAcentral. Lineage: Eukaryota; Viridiplantae; Streptophyta; Magnoliopsida; Brassicales; Brassicaceae.